This is a non-coding RNA of Macaca mulatta (Rhesus monkey), 217 nucleotides long. The record is from RefSeq and is a predicted model, not a curated record. NCBI's taxonomy places the organism in Eukaryota, Metazoa, Chordata, Mammalia, Primates, Cercopithecidae.
GUGAAACCCCGUCUCUACUAAAAAUGCAAAAAUCAGCUCCAAUCAAGACAAUCUUCCCACCUUCUGUCAAGAACAUGCAGAGGACUUUGCCAGAACUAUUGGAUCAAACCACCGCACCAUGACACAUUGACCUGGGAAAGAAUUGUUUGUCUAUUUCUCAACUUGAUCACUCUUCUGUUUUGAACCUGCAGGCAUAAUGAAUGCUUGCUCUCCCCUU